GACAUAUGUGGGAUGUUUAAAUAUGUCCAAGAUUACUUUCUUUAGGGAAACACUCUUCUCCAUACCAUGCAGGUCUGACAGACUACAAUGGAGAUAUCCAGCCCUGUGUUGAGUGGGUAAGAUUAUUUCCUUCUGUAGAAUGACUAAUCUCAGGAUAGAAGCAGAGAUCCCAACAGUUCUUCUCUGGAUUGAUACUGGGCAGAAUGGACAGCACCGUGGCAGGCAUAUGAGUCAGCCUGGACUGAGAAUUAGGGUCAGACUUAAAGCAAUAUAACAAUAAGGACUGCUACGUUUGGCUACAAAAAGAGGGGCCAGGAGAAAAACAUUUGCCCACAUAAAUACCAAGUAACUCAUUCAGGUGAAAAAGAAUUGCAAGAAAAAUAGCAUGAGCACAACAUGAACAUUUCUUCUGACUGAGAAUGCCAACAAAGACAAAGGAGGUGUCAGCGCUUUUGGGAGUUCACAGCAUACUCAAAGUGAGUGGAACAUUUGAUGGAGCCGUCAAGAGCCGUGAGAGAGCUUGACAACAGUCCGGCUGCGGCAGCAGUC
Molecule: long non-coding RNA, 549 nt
Organism: Fukomys damarensis (Damara mole-rat)
Lineage: Eukaryota; Metazoa; Chordata; Mammalia; Rodentia; Bathyergidae
Exons: 3
Source: RefSeq, a predicted model, not a curated record